Molecule: ribosomal RNA, 396 nt
Filed under: uncultured bacterium
Lineage: Bacteria
Description: bacterial SSU rRNA
Rfam family: Bacterial small subunit ribosomal RNA
Source: RNAcentral
GACGAACGCUGGCGGCGUGCUUAACACAUGCAAGUCGAACGGUAAGGCCCUUCGGGUACGACGAGUGGCGAACGGGUGGAGUAACACGUGGGUGAUCUGCCCUGCACUUCGGGAUAAGCCUGGGAAACUGGGUCUAAUACCGGAUAGGACCAUGGACUUCACGGUUUGUGGUGGAAAGCUUUUGCGGUGUGGGAUGGGCCCGCGGCCUAUCAGCUUGUUGGUGGGGUAAUGGCCUACCAAGGCGACGACGGGUAGCCGGCCUGAGAGGGUGUCCGGCCACACUGGGACUGAGAUACGGCCCAGACUCCUACGGGAGGCAGCAGUGGGGAAUAUUGCACAAUGGGCGCAAGCCUGAUGCAGCGACGCCGCGUGAGGGAUGACGGCCUUCGGGUGUAA